Molecule: ribosomal RNA, 460 nt
Filed under: uncultured bacterium
Lineage: Bacteria
Description: partial 16S ribosomal RNA
Rfam family: Bacterial small subunit ribosomal RNA
Source: RNAcentral
CCUACGGGUGGCAGCAGUGAGGAAUCUUGGUCAAUGGCCGGAAGGCUGAACCAGCCAUGCCGCGUGAAGGUCAGUGCCCUAUGGGCGUUAAACUUCUUUUGUGCGGGAGCAAUCAUGGUCACGUGUGGCCAGACGAGAGUACCGUACGAAUAAGCAUCGGCUAACUCCGUGCCCGCAGCCGCGGUUAUACGGGGGCUGCAAGCGGUAUCCGGAUUGAUUGGGUUUAAAGGGUGCGUAAGCUGGGAGGUAAGUCAGCGGUGAAAUGCCCCCGCUCAACGGGGUGAAGGGCCAUUGAUACUGGCUUGCUGGAAUGCGGAGGCCGAGAGAGGAAUGUGUGGUGUAGCGGUGAAAUGCAGAGAUAUCACACAGAACACCGAUUGCGAAGGCAUCUCACGAAUCCGCGAUUGACGCUGAUGCACGAAAGCGUGGGGAUCAAACAGGAUUAGAUACCCGGGUAGUC